RNAcentral lists this ribosomal RNA (253 nucleotides) under uncultured bacterium. Its description in RNAcentral is "partial 16S ribosomal RNA". It matches the Rfam family "Bacterial small subunit ribosomal RNA", at positions 524 to 776 of the family's 1533-position model. The record is from RNAcentral.
UACGUAGGUGGCAAGCGUUGUCCGGAAUUACUGGGUGUAAAGCGCGUGUAGGCGGGAGGCCAAGUCUGCUGUGAAAUCGCCCGGCUCAACUGGGCGGGGUCGGUGGAAACUGGUCACCUGGAGGACGGUAGAGGCGAGUGGAAUUCCCGGUGUAGUGGUGAAAUGCGUAGAGAUCAGGAAGAACACCCGUGGCGAAGGCGGCUCUCUGGGACGGUACUGACGCUGAGACGCGAAAGCGUGGGGAGCAAAAGGG